This 1043-nucleotide ribosomal RNA is filed under the name Armadillidium vulgare (common pillbug). RNAcentral's name for it is "large subunit ribosomal RNA". The stretch from base 686 to 987 matches the Rfam family "Archaeal large subunit ribosomal RNA", at positions 2150 to 2716 of the family's 2987-position model. The record is from RNAcentral. Lineage: Eukaryota; Metazoa; Arthropoda; Malacostraca; Isopoda; Armadillidiidae.
CUUAUAUUAAUAUUUUUAUAUAAAAAUAUAAAAGAACUGUAAAGGAAAAAAAUCUAUACCUAUAUAAGCUUUAUGCCUUUUGUAUCAGGAAGAUUCAAUAUAUGAAUAUCACAGAUUAAAUCCGAAAUAACUAGAGCUAUAAUAUUUAAAUAAAUAAAUUUCAGUUUACUUAUCUAAAAUUUUUAUAGAAAAAAUAUUUUAACAUUAUUUUAUAUCUGAUUUAGAUGUAAGAAAUAAAAUUUCAAUAUAUAAACUAUUCCAUAUAUAUAUAAAUUGUUUAGGAAAUCUAAAUAUUUUAUACAGAAUUAAUAUAUUUAUUUUUAGGUUUAAGUUCCUUCUUAAAAAAUUUUUUGUUCUUUAUUAUAGUUGUUUAAAAUUUAUAAUUUAAAUAAUAAAUCUAUAAGUAUUUCAUAAAAUUAUUAAAUUGGUUUUUUUUAAAAAAAAAAUAAACAAAAUAAUAAACUAAGCAAACCUAAUCUUUGCCUGUUUAACAAAAACAUCUUCUGAAUUUAAUAUUUCAGGUAGAGCCUGCUCACUGAUUUAAAGAGCCGCAGUAUCCUAACUGUGCUAAGGUAGCAUAAUCAUUAGUUACUUAAUUUGUAACUAGAAUGAACGGCCUGACAAAAGAAUAACUUUAUUAUUUUUUUGGUUAAAUUAAUUUAAGAAUAAAAAAGUUCUUAUAAACUAGAAAGACGAUAAGACCCUAAAACCUUAUAUAUAAAUAUUUACUGGGGCGGUAAUUUAUUAUCCAUAAGUUAAAAUAACAUAGUGAAUGAUAUUAUCUAGUUAAUUAACUCAAAAAGGUACUUUAGGGAUAACAGCAUAAUUUUUAUUUAGAGUUCUUAUCGACAUAAAAGAUUAUGACCUCGAUGUUGAAUUGAUUUAACUAUUUUAGGCAGCCCUCAAAUUAGUAGGUCUGUUCGACCUUUAAAUGAUCACAUGAUUUGAGUUCAAACCGGCGUGAGCCAGGUUGGUUUCUAUCUUCUAUUUUUUGAUAACUUAGCUAGUACGUAAGGAUUUUUAAGUAUUAAUUUUUUUUAUAA